AGAUUGCCUGUAAUUCAUAUAAGGUAUCUUUGGUUUUUUCAUCACAAAUCAUAAUUUGCUUCAAAAUCAUGUGGGGAAGUCUUGCUUUUGUGUACCAAUGGCCAUUUGCUUUUCAUUUUUCCUUUGAUUAUAUCUUCUGGAACUUUAUUCUUGGGCUGGUUUCACGCGUUAUAUAUUACCAAUUGCUGCUUGCAUUUGAAUGUUGAUCAUUUUGGUCCUCAUUGAAUUGUUUGAGGAAUGCUCAUUCACAGCCAUUUUAUUCUAGUUGCUACUUUUCACUCACUUCUUCUAUGGUACAAUGUGCUCUUCUGUUGUAAGUGUUGUUAAGUGAUUGAAGACUGCUGGAUCUUAUGUUUUAUAUUCUCUUGUUGUUAUAUUACAUAUGGCAUGCUUCAAGUUCUGGCAUGAAGUCAAAUUAUUUUUCACCUUAAUCUUUCACCAGAUUAAUAUGAUCACUUGGUCAACUGGUCGUCUUACUGUUGUGUGCUUGAAAUCAUAUGUUUUAUCUUUUAUGGAUAAUAAGUUAUUUGAAGUCUGUAUGUGCUGGUUAUAUUUGUGAACGCUGCCUUGAAUUUAUGUAGGGUUAAUAACAGAGAACCACUUGAGGUUUUGUAUAAUAUGCACUUUGGUCCUAUAGCGUUUCAAAACUAGCAAUUUAUUUCUUAAGAUUUGUUAAUGAUCCAAUGCUUUAGUCCUUAAUUAUAAAAUUAUGAAUUGUCCAUUACAUUUCAGUCCCUGACAUUUUAAACUAGAUUACACUUUUGGUCCCAAAAGUUUUAAAAUUUAAUUGCGCUUUAGUCCUUGAAUUAUUAUGUUGCAAAACAUUAUAGUCCUCAGAAUCUUGUAUUUUCCACUGAUGGCAGCAUAGGGACAAAGUGCUAAUUUUGAAACAGCAAAGACCAUAGUGUAUAUAUGUUUAUAUUUAUCUGUUUCUCCACUUAAAAGUGCAAGGGCUGAAUAUCAAAGUAUUAUGUGAC
RNAcentral lists this unclassified non-coding RNA (977 nucleotides) under Hevea brasiliensis (rubber tree). The record is from RNAcentral. Lineage: Eukaryota; Viridiplantae; Streptophyta; Magnoliopsida; Malpighiales; Euphorbiaceae.